GAUGAACGCUGGCGGCGUGCUUAACACAUGCAAGUCGAACGGUGAAGGCGGAGCUUGCUCUGCUGGAUCAGUGGCGAACGGGUGAGUAACACGUGAGCAAUCUGCCCCUGACUCUGGGAUAAGCGCUGGAAACGGCGUCUAAUACUGGAUACGAGCUGCGAAGGCAUCUUCAGCAGCUGGAAAGAACUUCGGUCAGGGAUGAGCUCGCGGCCUAUCAGCUUGUUGGUGAGGUAACGGCUCACCAAGGCGUCGACGGGUAGCCGGCCUGAGAGGGUGACCGGCCCCAAGGGGACGGAACAACGGCCCAAAACCCCAGGGGGGGCAGCGGGGGGGAAUUUUCCCAAAGGGGCGAAAGCCUGAUGCAGCAACGCCGGGUGGGGGAACACGGCCUUCGGGUGUAAAACUUCUUUUAGAAGGAAAGAAGCGAAGGGGACGGUACCUGCAAAAAAAGCCCCGGCUGACUCCGG
RNAcentral lists this ribosomal RNA (467 nucleotides) under uncultured bacterium. RNAcentral's name for it is "partial 16S ribosomal RNA". It matches the Rfam family "Bacterial small subunit ribosomal RNA", at positions 28 to 506 of the family's 1533-position model. The record is from RNAcentral.